AUUUUCUUAGUAUAAUAGUACAUUUGACUUCCAAUCAAAAAGCCUAGAGUUUCUAGAGAAAAUA
Molecule: transfer RNA, 64 nt
Filed under: Maja squinado (spiny spider crab)
Lineage: Eukaryota; Metazoa; Arthropoda; Malacostraca; Decapoda; Majidae
Description: tRNA-Gly
Rfam family: tRNA
About the family: Transfer RNA (tRNA) molecules are approximately 80 nucleotides in length.
Source: RNAcentral